This 301-nucleotide ribosomal RNA is filed under the name uncultured bacterium. RNAcentral's name for it is "partial 16S ribosomal RNA". It matches the Rfam family "Bacterial small subunit ribosomal RNA", at positions 509 to 809 of the family's 1533-position model. The record is from RNAcentral.
CAGCAGCCGCGGUAAUACGUAGGUGGCAAGCGUUGUCCGGAAUUAUUGGGCGUAAAGGGCUCGCAGGCGGUUUCUUAAGUCUGAUGUGAAAGCCCCCGGCUCAACCGGGGAGGGUCAUUGGAAACUGGGAAACUUGAGUGCAGAAGAGGAGAGUGGAACUCCACGUGUAGCGGUGAAAUGCGUAGAGAUGUGGAGGAACACCAGUGGCGAAGGCGACUCUCUGGUCUGUAACUGACGCUGAGGAGCGAAAGCGUGGGGAGCGAACAGGAUUAGAUACCCCUGUAGUCCCUGUCUCUUAUAU